This 261-nucleotide ribosomal RNA is filed under the name uncultured archaeon. RNAcentral describes it as "partial 16S ribosomal RNA". It matches the Rfam family "Archaeal small subunit ribosomal RNA", at positions 748 to 1009 of the family's 1478-position model. The record is from RNAcentral.
UAGCCGUAAACGAUACUCGCUAGGUGUCGGCCACGGUGCGACCGUUGUCGGUGCCGUAGGGAAGCCGUGAAGCGAGCCACCUGGGAGGUACGGCCGCAAGGCUGAAACUUAAAGGAAUUGGCGGGGGAGCACCACAACGGGUGGAGCUUGCGGUUUAAUUGGAUUCAACGCCGGAAAUCUUACCGGGACCGACAGCAACAUGAAGGCCAGGCUGAAGACUUUGCCGGAUUAGCUGAGAGGUGGUGCAUGGCGUAGUCGUGU